UUGAACGCUGGCGGAAUGCUUUACACAUGCAAGUCGAGCGGCAGCGCGGGGGCAACCCUGGCGGCGAGCGGCGAACGGGUGAGUAACAUAUCGGAACGUACCCUAUCGUGGGGGAUAACACAUCGAAAGAUGUGCUAAUACCGCAUACGACCUGAGGGUGAAAGCAGGGGAUCGCAAGACCUUGCGCGACAGGAGCGGCCGAUAUCGGAUUAGCUAGUUGGUGAGGUAAAGGCUCACCAAGGCGACGAUCCGUAGCUGGUCUGAGAGGACGACCAGCCACACUGGAACUGAGACACGGUCCAGACUCCUACGGGAGGCAGCAGUGGGGAAUUUUGGACAAUGGGGGCAACCCUGAUCCAGCCAUUCCGCGUGAGUGAAGAAGGCCUUCGGGUUGUAAAACCCUUUCGACGGGGAGGAAGGCACCGGCGCGAAUAGCGUUGGUGAUUGACGUAACCUGGAGAAGAAGCACCGGUUAACUCCGU
This 482-nucleotide ribosomal RNA is filed under the name uncultured bacterium. Its description in RNAcentral is "bacterial SSU rRNA". It matches the Rfam family "Bacterial small subunit ribosomal RNA", at positions 29 to 506 of the family's 1533-position model. The record is from RNAcentral.